GAUGAACGCUGGCGGCGUGCCUAAUACAUGCAAGUCGAGCGAACAGACGAGGAGCUUGCUCCUCUGACGUUAGCGGCGGACGGGUGAGUAACACGUGGAUAACCUACCUAUAAGACUGGGAUAACUUCGGGAAACCGGAGCUAAUACCGGAUAAUAUAUUGAACCGCAUGGUUCAAUAGUGAAAGACGGUUUUGCUGUCACUUAUAGAUGGAUCCGCGCCGCAUUAGCUAGUUGGUAAGGUAACGGCUUACCAAGGCAACGAUGCGUAGCCGACCUGAGAGGGUGAUCGGCCAAACUGGAACUGAGAAACGGUACAGACUCCUACGGGAGGCAGCAGUAGGGAAUCUUACGCAAUGGGCGAAAGCCUGACGGAGCAACGCCGCGUGAGUGAUGAAGGUCUUCGGAUCGUAAAACUCUGUUAUUAGGGAAGAACAAAUGUGUAAGUAACUAUGCACGUCUUGACGGUACCUAAUCAGAAAGCCACGGCUAACUACGUG
This 497-nucleotide ribosomal RNA is filed under the name uncultured bacterium. Its description in RNAcentral is "partial 16S ribosomal RNA". It matches the Rfam family "Bacterial small subunit ribosomal RNA", at positions 28 to 507 of the family's 1533-position model. The record is from RNAcentral.